CAGCAGCCGCGGUAAUACGGAGGGUGCAAGCGUUAAUCGGAAUUACUGGGCGUAAAGCGCACGCAGGCGGUCUGUCAAGUCGGAUGUGAAAUCCCCGGGCUCAACCUGGGAACUGCAUCCGAAACUGGCAGGCUAGAGUCUUGUAGAGGGGGGUAGAAUUCCAGGUGUAGCGGUGAAAUGCGUAGAGAUCUGGAGGAAUACCGGUGGCGAAGGCGGCCCCCUGGACAAAGACUGACGCUCAGGUGCGAAAGCGUGGGGAGCAAACAGGAUUAGAUACCCCUGUAGUCCCUGUCUCUUAUAA
RNAcentral lists this ribosomal RNA (301 nucleotides) under uncultured bacterium. Its description in RNAcentral is "partial 16S ribosomal RNA". It matches the Rfam family "Bacterial small subunit ribosomal RNA", at positions 509 to 809 of the family's 1533-position model. The record is from RNAcentral.